Cryptomeria japonica (Japanese cedar) is the source of this 3455-nucleotide long non-coding RNA. RefSeq lists it as uncharacterized. The transcript has 2 exons. Lineage: Eukaryota; Viridiplantae; Streptophyta; Pinopsida; Cupressales; Cupressaceae. The record is from RefSeq and is a predicted model, not a curated record.
AUUCAUUCCCUCUCCAUAAAUAUUUUAAUGUUCUCCGUGCAUAUUUGUUGUGUCAAGGACAGGGUUGAGUUGGCUUAUACAGUAAAUGCCUGUAAAUGUCAUUUAUACAUAUUUCUAUGUAUUGCUCUGCAGCUUUACUUCUCCAUGCUUCGAAAAAACGCUUUCGUUUUCUUGCAGUGCUCAGGCGCCUACCGUGAAAACUGAGGUGCUGCUAGAUAACAUCGACAGUGCUGAAUUUUAUCCUAAAGAACUGCUUUCCAUGGGAAGGGUUGUAGCUCCUAUUUCUAUUUCUUAGUGGUCUCAUGGAAUUCAUUUAUAUAAAACGACAAAGUUUAGAAUAUAUACCUGAAAAUGCAUGCAAUUUGUCUAAGAAUAAAGAAGGCACAUUUUAGUGCCCUACAAACAGACACAUCCCCUAUCCUGUGCUGUAAAUAUGUAAUUAGCUUCAAUUUUAGCAUUGAGAAAAUAUAGGGGGAAAAAAUAUUGGAGAAAAAGUUUAGUAAUGAAUUGAAUUGGAGUAAUAAUAUAGAAUUGCUCACCAUAUAGAUAGAGAAUUGGAGAGUGAAAAUCGCAUUGAAACCCUUUAUCCCCCAACUAUCAAAGAAAUCCCCCUUUUCAAAAUAUAAUCAACCAUUCGUUUAAGUUUUUUCAUUCGUCUUUGUGCAUUCAUCAAAAAGACUACUAAGCAUUACCAAAAAAAUAUUUCAUAGCUAUUUGGAGAGUUUUCAUCCAUAAUUGCUGCUAUUUUUCCAUCAUUAAUUACAUAUUUUCUUGGCUGGGACAAGUCGCCACUGGUAUAGAGGGGGUCCACACGUUUGGAGGCAUUUACAUGCCAUAUUUUUUCGCAAUUUUCAAUUUGCAGCUAGUUUUGGAGAUGGCACCAACAUUAUAUGUGGUUCUAUAUUCAUUCCUAACUGCUCUAACUACUAGCCAUGACCAUAUAAUAGCCCUUGUAGCCAACCACCAACCAUACCAACGAUGUAAAGGUCAUUUUUAGGUUCGUACAACCAUAUAAUUCAGGGUUUCAUUAUCACUUUCUCAAAUCUGUAGUUCAUGAGAGGAUUGUAUUUAUUCUAAUUUUGAAUAUGCCGUUUCCAGAAUUUAUAAUCAAGCCUAAGUUUUUAUUUUAUUGAUUAUUCUUAUGUUAAAGGUAAUUGGGAACAUCACUGGCCCAGAUGUAACUCAUAUUUAUAUGUACAACGUUAUUAGGUUGCGUUCUCACUCAUUCUUAAUGACUUCAGGCACUAACAUGCCUGUUCAAACUGAGAUGUGUGUGACAUGUGCAAAUGGCUCGCAUGGAAGGCUGAUGCCUUGCUGAGAACAAUUUCUCUUGCAAUAAUCUUGCAGACGAAUUUAGAUGCAGUGUAGAAAGCAUUCAGUUUCGUUCUUUCACCAAUAUCCUUGCUAUUUGAACCUCAUGCACCUGCCUGCUUUUGCAUAGCUUUUUUAGAGAAGUACAUAAAUUGCAGCAUUUUUAGGAUCCAACUAAAAAACCAGUGUUGGAAAUGCUCAGCUUAUAUUCAUAUAUGAUCUACAGGCAUCCAGAAAACACAUCCACACAACCACUACGGGUCUAACUGGCAUCUCAAUCUUAUUUAUUAAAUGCUCUGUACAAUUUCAUUAGAAAAAAAAAGCAUUUGUUCAUUACGGUGCAUUCUACUAUUCUGUUGUUGCACAGAGCUUGAUUGAAAGCAUUAAUCAAUACACUCACAUGGCCAGCACUCUGAAGACAAGAAGGCAUUGUAGAAAGCUAUCAAAUCCCUCAAUAUUUAUGAACAACUCCACAUUAGGCUUCUUUCCUGAUACCCAUAAGAAAAAUUUGGCAAUUUCUAUGGUAUUUCCUAUCAGAAGUUGAGGAUACGGGCUCUCUUAGUUUCUUCAGAUUUUCAGUUAACCUAGGUUUGAUUUCCUUGGUCUAGGUUCUAGAUUUGGGCUUAGAUGGCUGUUCAAUCUCCUGUAUUCGGCCGAAAUGCAUAACGGGUUUGCGUUUAAUAUUCUUUUAUAAGGUGGGUUAAUUUUAUUCAAUCCUAUUUUUCCUUCCUGAUUCUGCUUUAUAGCGAUGGUCUGUUUACAAUUAUGCAAUUGUUUGGUUCUGUAAACCUUGCUAAAAAAUAUCCAUGGGUUGUUAGGUUUUGGUUAUAAAAACAUUGGUUUUUAUGCCAUGGGUUGUUAGGUUUUGAAUUGUUCCAGUUCGUAUUGCGCUAUUUUUUUUUCUUCCUCCAGUGAACACUGCAAAUGACACCCCCUCCAAUAAUGUCACUAGUCCAAAACCCCGUUGAUCCACCCAGCUCCCAGUUCAAUUCCCUAGCAAAUAUCCUAGGGCAAUUGGAAACCCCAAUUUUAGAUAUCAAUGUCAACUAGUGGCCAGGAAUGGCAAUUGGAACUAAAGAAAUCACAUAGUCCAAAAACUAUAGAACAUUAGUAGUGUCUCGUGCAUCUCCAAUACAGUAAAAAAAACCAAAACAGAAGAAAAACAUAAAACAACAAUGUUCUACAAAAGCAAAAACAGACAGCGCCACCAUAUCUCGAAGCUGCAAUGCCAAAAUCAUAAAGCUAAGUCAAGACAGAAGAAAAACAUAAAACAACAAUGUUCUACAGAAGCAAAAACAGACAGCGCCAACAUAUCUCGAAGCUGCAAUGCCAAAAUCAUAAAGCUAAGUCAACAAGUCAUCCUCCUGGCAUUCAAAGUAACGAAUAAAUUGGUAAUAGGUUCAAAUUUAACAUAAUUGAUCACAUUUUUCUCAUAAACAAGAGAAGAAGAUAACAAUGAUAUCAAAAAUAUCAUUAAAAUUGAUUUUGAAACUUGAAUAUUAUUUUCCCAUGCAACUUCUGAACUUUUGUCCUUCUUGAGAUAGGUUUUACUAUGAGAAAGUAAGAAAUAAAAUUGUGUUCUUAAACCUCGAAUUAAAAGAAUAUAAGAUACUGUACAACUUGUUUAUCAUGUUCUUUUGUAUUUCGAAGCUAAUAUUAACAUUGCACAUAUAGCAGACUAAAUUUGAGACUAAAGACUAUUCCAUCAAUUGAAGAUCCAUAGAAAGAGUUGGUUAAUAACUGCUGAAUAAUUUAAACUAUUAACGAGUUAUCAAGGGAAUUAUCUUCAGUAGCAUAACAAAUCAAAGUGAGGUAAAAUCUUCUGCUGUUUUACCAAGACAAAUAUUCUGCAAUUGAUAUUUUUCAUGCACUAAUGAACUCAUACUUCUCUGCGUCUAAUUUUGCAGGAAUUUGAAUACAGAAGCUGACAACAAUCGGCCAUCAAUAGGCUACAACAGUUGCAUAGUUUACAAUGCUAUUUGCAUACUUACAGUGUUUUAAUCGAGAAUGUGACCUAUUCAUCUUGUCUAAUUAAUCCCAUUAUCCUGCAUUUUAUAUGUUGUAUUCACUACUAUUGAAAUCCUCUUCACUAUGCUACAAUUUUAAAUAUUCACAAUAUAUCUCUACAACAAACGGUCCUAACA